GUGGGGAAUAUUGUGCAAUGGGCGAAAGCCUGACCCAGCAACGCCGCGUGAAGGAAGAAGGUUUUCGGAUCGUAAACUUCUAUCCUUGGUGAAGAUAAUGACGGUAGCCAAGAAGGAAGCCCCGGCUAACUACGUGCCAGCAGCCGCGGUAAUACGUAGGGGGCAAGCGUUGUCCGGAAUGAUUGGGCGUAAAGGGCGCGUAGGCGGCCUGGUAAGUCUGGAGUGAAAGUCCUGCUUUUAAGGUGGGAAUUGCUUUGGAUACUGUCUGGCUUGAGUGCAGGAGAGGUAAGUGGAAUUCCCGGUGUAGCGGUGAAAUGCGUAGAGAUCGGGAGGAACACCAGUGGCGAAGGCGACUUACUGGACUGUAACUGACGCUGAGGCGCGAAAGUGUGGGGAGCAAACAGGAUUAGAAACCCCAGUAGUCC
This 425-nucleotide ribosomal RNA is filed under the name uncultured bacterium. RNAcentral describes it as "partial 16S ribosomal RNA". It matches the Rfam family "Bacterial small subunit ribosomal RNA", at positions 354 to 796 of the family's 1533-position model. The record is from RNAcentral.